UGAGGGUCGUUUAACAAAAAUAACCAGACUGCUCGCGGAAACGCUAGCGUACGCCUGAGUGUUUCGUCGCUGUGUGCACAAGCACGCAGACGGCGUCGCUCGAAACAAUGGCCAAAACAGCAGACUGUUGUCGUGUGUCGCUAGUAAAGCGCCUCGAGCGUGUUUGAACGAUAUGCACAGGCACACGCUAUACGACGAUGAGUAGUAUAUUAUAUAUUAUAAAUAUAUAUACACACACACUCACACACACACGCACACGUGUUGUUUGCGUCGAGUCCCUGAGCUCUUUGCGUGCGUUUUGACGCCGCGGGCGGACCGAUGCAGCGCGCGUCGUCGUGGCGUGAUUGAUGCUUGUGUUGUGGUGUAUUCUCGUCGUGUGUGCCGAUUGUGUUUCAUACACACGUCUCUUGGAAAAGAAAUGCACACUACUACUGUGUCUAUGUUUGUCUUUUUUUUGAAAGCGAUUUUUAUAUAUUAUUCUUAACGACGACCUCAGAGCAGGCGAGACUACCCCC
Molecule: unclassified non-coding RNA, 515 nt
Filed under: Torymus cyaneus
Lineage: Eukaryota; Metazoa; Arthropoda; Insecta; Hymenoptera; Torymidae
Description: sequence contains 5.8S rRNA gene, ITS2 and 28S rRNA gene
Source: RNAcentral